Molecule: long non-coding RNA, 892 nt
Filed under: Equus caballus (horse)
Lineage: Eukaryota; Metazoa; Chordata; Mammalia; Perissodactyla; Equidae
Description: lncRNA (ENSECAG00000057077.1)
Source: RNAcentral
GGCCUUCUAUCCCGGAGUUCCGUGGCUGGAGCCUCAGAAUGUGGAUUGGAGAGAGGUCCAGAUGGCCGGUGACUUUAGUGAAAUCCUCUCCAGUCAAAAACACCAGGUUAUACAAUGAGUUGACGACAAAGUUGGGAAAGCAUUGAAGAAAUUUGUAGAGAAGGAAGCAAAGGUGAGAGAGAAAGAUGAUUGCAAUGGAAAGGAAGGUGUCUGGCAAAGGAGGGACCAAUUCUUCAUAUUAUUUGCACUGAACUGCUGCUUGUGACAUAAUUAAGACCCAGGCAGUGGCCUCAUUAUUCCCAACCAGACUGAAGCAAUGUUUGACUGCCUCUUCAGAACAUGCCUGUAAGCAAGAAAGGGACAGAUUACAUCAUCCGGUUGGCGUUAAACAACAGAGCAGGCAGGAUUUGAAGCCAAUAUUCAAAAGAUGAAGUUUGGAUGAAGAGCAACACAAGAGGUCUUUCAGGCUCCCAAACCAGUUUGCAUAUUGAGCUUCCCAGAACUAUUUUCAACCACCUGGAGCAGCUGAGCAUGAAGAACACCAUUCUCGAUGUCUUUAGCUACAAAUUGGUAAGCAUAUGGGCUCCAGAGGCCUGGGGAGGAGGGGCCCACCCCUCAAAUCCAGUCUGUUUAUGACUGAGGAAGUUCUGAUCAAGUUGACGGUGUUAAAGACUCCAACACAUCAACUCCAUUGAAGAGCGGGACAAGCUAUUGUAAAUAGGAACCAUCAAAGCAUUAGCCAUUUCGGUGAAAUGAAGCAAAUCAAUUGUUUCUCAGAAAGGUGCCUUUCAGAUCUCCUUUCGCAGCUUCUGAGUUUCUGUAUCAAGUUCACAUGAAAACAACUUGUGCUAAUGGGAUUUUGGCUCAGGAUCUUGGAAGGUCAGUGGCUUGG